Molecule: ribosomal RNA, 664 nt
Filed under: uncultured archaeon
Lineage: Archaea
Description: bacterial SSU rRNA
Rfam family: Archaeal small subunit ribosomal RNA
Source: RNAcentral
UCGACGGUGAGAGAUGAAAGCUGGGGGAGCAAACCGGAUUAGAUACCCGGGUAGUCCCAGCUGUAAACUAUGCAAACUCAGUGAUGCAUUGGCUUGUGGCCAAUGCAGUGCUGCAGGGAAGCCGUUAAGUUUGCCGUCUGGGAAGUACGUACGCAAGUAUGAAACUUAAAGGAAUUGGCGGGGGAGCACCACAAGGGGUGAAGCCUGCGGUUCAAUUGGAGUCAACGCCAGAAAUCUUACCCGGAGAGACAGCAGAAUGAAGGUCAAGCUGAAGACUUUACCAGACAAGCUGAGAGGUGGUGCAUGGCCGUCGCCAGCUCGUGCCGUGAGAUGUCCUGUUAAGUCAGGUAACGAGCGAGAUCCCUGCCUCUAGUUGCCACCAUUACUCUCAGGAGUAGUGGGGCGAAUUAGCGGGACCGCCGCAGUUAAUGCGGAGGAAGGAAGGGGCCACGGCAGGUCAGUAUGCCCCGAAACUCUGGGGCCACACGCGGGCUGCAAUGGUAACGACAAUUGGUUUCGAAUCCGAAAGGAUGAGGUAAUCCUCAAACGUUACCACAGUUAUGACUGAGGGCUGCAACUCGCCCUCACGAAUAUGGAAUCCCUAGUAACUGCGUGUCAUUAUCGCGCGGUGAAUACGUCCCUGCUCCUUGCACACACCGCCCGU